Molecule: long non-coding RNA, 756 nt
Organism: Mastomys coucha (southern multimammate mouse)
Lineage: Eukaryota; Metazoa; Chordata; Mammalia; Rodentia; Muridae
Exons: 2
Source: RefSeq, a predicted model, not a curated record
GCCGGGAAGCGCAGAGCCCGCCUCCUGCGCCAGGCUCGCACGCUCGGCUGGCGCGGGGCGGCUGGGGAAGGCGCUGGGGCCCGCGUGAGAUCGCAGAACCCGAGGCUGUUGCGGGCACGCCAGGCGGCGGCGUGAGGCCACACCGCUCCCGGAUCAAAGCCGCGCGGGCCGCCCGGGGAGCCGCAGCUCGCAGGCCUGGCGAGGCGGACCGUUCCCGCAGAGCCGUGUGCUGAGCUGUGUGCGGAUGGCUGUGAUUUUUGAGUUCCUGCUGGAUCAGAAGUUGAGGAGAGCAGAAGCCCAUGAAGUUACAAACAGGGUGCCAUGAGAAAAUACAGGCCGUGGCCAUGGCUACCAGCACCUUCACUGAAUGCAGCAAAGGUCUCAGAGGCUAAGCAGAGGUCUCUCCCAGUGAAGGAGCUGAGUUAUGAAGUAUCCACAGCCCCUACCUGGAAAAUGAAGGCAGAGGCUCCUGGGGUCAGGGGGCCCCACGGAAGCAGAAGGUAACUGGAGAGGAGGCAUCUAUGACAAGGAGAAAGGGAAGUGUACCAUGGUACACUCUCUCCUGCCCUGAUGCUCACAGGAGCCCUUCAGACUAUCUCGCCUGUCAGUCAUGCAUUUCCCUGGUCCGUUCCAGAAGGCCACCUGCAGCCGUGUAUCACAGUGUGCAUUUCCAUAGAUGCGAUGGCCCUGCCUCAAAUAUAUGACCCCUUUCUUUCAGUUCCCCCCGACUGCUGAGAUUAAAGAUGUGUGCCACCA